AUGUUCCCUGCAUCUCUGCUGCUGCUGGCAGCUGCCUCCUGUGUGUGCGGCAUUGUUGACCCGGAACUCACCCAACCAAGCUCAAUGGUUGUAAAACCUGGAGAGUCUUGGAGCAUCAACUGUAAGGUGUCUGGGUAUUCUAUCAGUGAUGAUAGCUAUACCACAGACUGGAUUAGACAUCCUGUAGGUAAAGCUAUGGAAUGGAUCAGUGACUCAGAUGGAAACUGCAAGGAUUCUUUGAAAAGCAGGUUCAGCAUCUCCAAAGAUGGUUCCAACAACAUCGUGACUUUAGAAGGGCAGAGAAUUCAAACUGAAGACACAGCUAUGUAUUACUGUGUCAGAUAUAAUGACACACAGUGGUGUGAAGCAAGCAUGACCUGUACAAAAACAACAAAGAUGUCUGUCGCAUGA
Molecule: non-coding RNA, 411 nt
Organism: Salvelinus namaycush (lake trout)
Lineage: Eukaryota; Metazoa; Chordata; Actinopteri; Salmoniformes; Salmonidae
Source: the annotation of a RefSeq genome assembly